This 409-nucleotide ribosomal RNA is filed under the name bacterium. Its description in RNAcentral is "partial 16S ribosomal RNA". It matches the Rfam family "Bacterial small subunit ribosomal RNA", at positions 355 to 776 of the family's 1533-position model. The record is from RNAcentral.
UGGGGAAUAUUGCACAAUGGGCGCAAGCCUGAUGCAGCGACGCCGCGUGAGGGAUGACGGCCUUCGGGUUGUAAACCUCUUUCAGCAGGGACGAAGCGCAAGUGACGGUACCUGCAGAAGAAGCACCGGCCAACUACGUGCCAGCAGCCGCGGUAAUACGUAGGGUGCGAGCGUUGUCCGGAAUUACUGGGCGUAAAGAGCUCGCAGGCGGUUUGUCGCGUCGUCUGUGAAAUCCCGCAGCUCAACUGCGGGCUUGCAGGCGAUACGGGCAGACUCGAGUACUGCAGGGGAGACUAGACUUCCUGGUGUAGCGGUGAAAUGCGCAGAUAUCAGGAGGGACACCGGUGGCGAAGGAGGGUCUCUGGGCAGUAACUGUCGCUGAGGAGCGAAAGCGUGGGUAGCGAACAGG